This is a long non-coding RNA of Biomphalaria glabrata, 1639 nucleotides long. RefSeq lists it as uncharacterized. The transcript has 2 exons. NCBI's taxonomy places the organism in Eukaryota, Metazoa, Mollusca, Gastropoda, Planorbidae. The record is from RefSeq and is a predicted model, not a curated record.
UACUCUACGUAAUAGUUCAUCAUUGUGUGAGCGUGCGACCCCAGGUCUAUUUGUUAUCUAUUUUUAUCUGUAUUUCGAUCUAUUUACUUUAUAUAGGCCAGGCUAGAAUAAUUUGAUUUAGUGUCUUUUCUUCUUGCAUAGGUCAGUGCUGUGUGUUUGUAGUUUCCGCUAUUUAUAACUUCUGCUAGUUUGAGUCUUUUUCUGUUAUUUGUGUUUUACUCGUAGAGGAAAAGUAGUUUUAAAAAUAGUUAACUAGCUUUAGAGUUGUUGGCACUGUUUCCAUUUCUUUGUCCCUGAUUAGUUCUACAUAUUUUUGUCUUUAGCGCUUAGGUUAGGUUAGUAGUUAUUUUUUAAUUUCAGUCUAAGUGUAAGUCUAGAAGCUGUAUAGGGUCCCUGUACGAGUUUAGAACAUAAUUAUCUUUCUUCUUCCUUUUUGUAUUUUUGUAAGAUUUAAAUUUUAAGGUUCUCUUUUUUAUGCUGUUUAAUUUGGUAUAUAAUGUUGUGUAGUCCGUGUCUUUAGUAAUUUUCUAGAUUUUAUUAUAGCGUACGGCUAGGUACAAAUUAGGCGUGUCAGUAGUCCAGUUUAGUUUUAGAUAAUUAGCGUGACGUCAUGCUCUCCGAUAUGUUCGCGCUGACCAGUUAUAGCUAGCUCCGGAACCACGUUGAGCCCUCUUUUGUCUUGACCAGUGGUCAGUGCCGACAGUAGUGCCGGUGUAGAGUUAAUUGUGUGUAGUGUAAUUUCAACUGGGACCGCCUGUAAGUCGAGAGAAUGUUUUAUUUCUUUUUAUUUUAUUAGCUUAGAUUUAUAUUGAUUAUUUCUAGAUUAAUUGUUAUAAUCUAGAUUUGGAUGGAUUGGGGCCGCACCCCAGUUCUGUCUAAUUUCAUUGGCCAUUUUCUAGACUGUGCCGGAAACUCGUUAACCUGGGUGGCUUAACCCGCAGCCAUCUUGAAUUAAUACAUAUAUUUUUUUCUUUAUUUCUUUAUUUUAUUUGUAAAUUUUUUAUUAUCUUAUAUUCUUAUGUAUGAUUAUUCUUAUUAGUGAUUUUUUUGGUAGUUUCUGAAGCGUAGUUGGCAGAUAAUGUUAUUUUUAAUUUUGUUGUACUUUUAUGUACAAGAUGGCGGCUGGCAUAAGCCGGCUCAUUAACCUAGAUAGUAGAUCUAAUGUGUAUUGUUGUGACUUUUAUCUGAUGUUAUUGUCUACCCAGCCUGUGUGGGUUGUGGCGUAGACUUGACCUAAAUUCUGUGGCUUUUAUUAGCUACAUGGAGGCUAAUUACUAAUAUGUAAUUACCUCAUGUCUCUAGGCUAUCCUUACUGUUGUUAGUCUACUGCCUGUAGGCUGUUGUUAGUCUACUGCCUGUAGGCUGUUGUUAGUCUACUGCCAUUAGUCUGCCAUCGCCUCCUUGUACCUUUUUUUGUUAUAUUUUAUUAAUUUUAAGCUUAGGUCUAGGGUAGUAAUUGUAGUGAUUUAGUUAGAUAGUUGGUUUGGUUAGUCUGUUAGUGUUUGUAGAUUUAGAGGGUUUUAGUUAGUUGCUGAGUUCAGUUGUAGUGUUAGUGUAGCUCUAUAUGUUAUAUUUUAUUAUUGAUUUAUUUGUGUAUGUAAAUAAAGUUUCUUUUUGUUUUAUUUAUCCUAAAGUAAAA